This 1743-nucleotide long non-coding RNA is filed under the name Panax ginseng (ginseng). RNAcentral describes it as "long non-coding RNA (PGIN_LNC011249)". Lineage: Eukaryota; Viridiplantae; Streptophyta; Magnoliopsida; Apiales; Araliaceae. The record is from RNAcentral.
AUUAGUAUAAAUAUAAUGUUUGGAGAAUUUUUUGAAGGCUAAAUGUUAGCUAAUAUAAAUUGGUCUUGGCUGUGCAGAAAAAACAAACUAUCAUUUUUUCAUUAAUGCAAGGUAUGCAUUGCAGCGGCACAAUUUUGCUCUUCAUGCCUCACUGUAGUGCCAAAAUCACCUCAACUCAUUCGAAAAAUACACUACAACGUCUGAAUUUGUUCCUUAACCAGCACUACAACGCCUCCCUCAAAGCCAAGUUUAAAAGCGAGUGUUGCAGUGCCUCAUAACGAUGGAAUACUGGCAUUACAGCGCCAAUAGCGAAUUUAAGUUGUUUAAGUUAGGCAUUUCUUGACAGACUCAACACAACUUCUCCUCUUACUAGCCAAAACUCACCCAAAACCUCCCCAAUCAAAAACCCUCAUGCCCUAGCUCAUCCUAAUCCACUUCUAAGCCUCAAUUCGUGCCUUCACAAGGGAUUCCUCACUGUAAGUUUUCGGAUUCUAGGGUUCUAAUUCUGCCAGGUACUCGGGUUUCCCAAUUCUUCUUUAGUUUUUUGAAGUUUUCAUUUGCUAUGGGUCUGGAAAGUGCUUUGAGUUCAUCUUAAAUUUUUUUGGUCUGCUAUUAUUGCUUAGUUUUACUCCGCUUGGAAAUUUUUGUGUUUGUGAUUACUACAGCUAGGGCUAGAAAAUUCAAUUUGAAAGAGUGCAAUCUAGGUGUUUAUUUUUUGGCCCAAGUAAGCUUUCUCUUAUUUUUGAUUCACUCAAGUGUAUUUUGGUUGGAGAUUCUUGUUAGCUUGAUAUAUGGCAGUAGCCUUCAACUAAUUGGUUUGAUUUUGGUUCUGAUUUCAACAAAUUAACUUUUGAUAGGAGCUUCGCUUUAGCUAGGCAAAUUGGUUUCCCUUGUUUUGAUUGAUAAUUGAUAUUCAGUUGGGGUAAGUUUUAGUUUAGUUUAGGUUUGAUUUGUCCAGGUAUUCAAUUUACAAAGUGUUUAUUGAAACUUUUGACAUGGCAUCCAAACGUUAACGAACUAGCACUGGCCCAUCUACAUCAGCACCAACAUGGGACCGUACGAAGUUUAUUAGCGAGGAAGCAUGAAAGAGAUACAAUUAGACCAUUGUAAACAAGAGUUUAGUGCCUUAGCAAGGUUUGAGGCAUGAUCAGAAGCAAGAUGGUGAUAUGAUGGAUAGGAUUAUUUAGAGGAAGUGGGUGCACUUUACCAAGCCAUCUGAGUCGGCUAUUAUCUCAAUGGUCUGUGAAUUUUAUGCAAAUGCCAGUGCAGAUGGUCCAACGAUAGUUCAAGUCAGAGGUAAAGCAAUUGCAUUUGAUAAUCAGACCAUUAACACUCUUUUUGCGAUGCCUGGCUAUGAUAACAAGGAUUAUAUGGAGCCAAGGAUUCGUUCUUAUAACCUUGAUGACAUAGUAAAAAGGCUUUGCAAGCUCGGGACUGUGUGGAAGACGAAUGAAUACACCGGUGAGAAGACCAGUUUUCCCCACCAAGCUCUUAGUCGCUAUGGUAAAGCGUGGUACAGUUUCAUUUGCUCUAGUAUUAUGCAUACUGUAAAAUCCCAAAUUUUACGAAUAAAGAUUUAAUUUUCUCGAUUUUUUUUUAAAAUUAUGGUGUCGAUUUGAGAUAAUAUUAUAGUUGUGGAUAAUAUUUAUAAAUUUUGAAAAGUAUGCAAGUUGUUGUAUAAUAUUCGAUUGGUCGGGGAAUAUUCUUUUUGUCAGGGAAUAUCCGUACGAUGGUACAAUCAUU